UUGAACGCUGGCGGCAUGCCUUACACAUGCAAGUCGAACGGUAACAGGUCUUCGGAUGCUGACGAGUGGCGAACGGGUGAGUAAUACAUCGGAACGUGCCCGAUCGUGGGGGAUAACGCAGCGAAAGCUGUGCUAAUACCGCAUACGAUCUACGGAUGAAAGCGGGGGAUCGCAAGACCUCGCGCGGACGGAGCGGCCGAUGGCAGAUUAGGUAGUUGGUGGGAUAAAAGCUUACCAAGCCGACGAUCUGUAGCUGGUCUGAGAGGACGACCAGCCACACUGGGACUGAGACACGGCCCAGACUCCUACGGGAGGCAGCAGUGGGGAAUUUUGGACAAUGGGCGCAAGCCUGAUCCAGCCAUGCCGCGUGAGUGAAGAAGGCCUUCGGGUUGUAAAGCUCUUUCGGCGGGGAAGAAAUCGCACUGGUUAAUACCUGGUGUGGAUGACGGUACCCGAAUAAGAAGCACCGGCUAACUACGU
This 480-nucleotide ribosomal RNA is filed under the name uncultured bacterium. RNAcentral's name for it is "bacterial SSU rRNA". It matches the Rfam family "Bacterial small subunit ribosomal RNA", at positions 30 to 506 of the family's 1533-position model. The record is from RNAcentral.